UCCCAGGAUUCUGGUCCUGGAUGCUGUGCCUGCACACAAGAGCAUCCAGGGCCUUUGUGCCAGUUGUGAGUGACUUCAGAGUUGGGCUUCCCUAUCUUUGAAUGAUUCAGCAUGUGUUAGAGCAUAUACAGAUUACUGAAUGUUGGUGCCAGCCAGCAAUGUUAUCAGUGUCUCCUAGAGUUUGAAAAAUCUCUGUACAAGCAACUUUCUCUUCCAACUGAACUGUGAAAUAACAACACAGUUCCACGUUCUGGCAAGGCUGGUGGGUGCCUGAAGCUAGACUUAAUCAGAGUAUUCUCUGUGAAUAAGCACAUUGUCAUUGUGACAAAGGUCCCAGAAGCGUGAUUGAAGGAAUGUAAAGAGCACAAGCUCCUGAGUCAUCUUAAUGGUGGCUCCCUGUGAAAUAAUGAAGUGGAAUAAACUCCAAGCAAAAGCAAAACAAAAUGAAUCAGACAAGCAAAGAAGCAAGCAAGCCAAAGAAUUUACAACCUGAC
RNAcentral lists this long non-coding RNA (494 nucleotides) under Pogona vitticeps (central bearded dragon). Its description in RNAcentral is "lncRNA (ENSPVIG00000023888.1)". The record is from RNAcentral. Lineage: Eukaryota; Metazoa; Chordata; Lepidosauria; Squamata; Agamidae.